This 449-nucleotide ribosomal RNA is filed under the name uncultured bacterium. RNAcentral's name for it is "partial 16S ribosomal RNA". It matches the Rfam family "Bacterial small subunit ribosomal RNA", at positions 354 to 796 of the family's 1533-position model. The record is from RNAcentral.
GUCGAGAAUCUUUCACAAUGGGGGCAACCCUGAUGGAGCGACGCCGCGUGGAGGAUAAGGUCUUCGGAUUGUAAACUCCUGUCAUGCGUGAACAAGGUUGCUUGGUUAAUACCUGGGCAAAUUGAUGGUAACGCAAGAGGAAGAGACGGCUAACUCUGUGCCAGCAGCCGCGGUAAUACAGAGGUCUCAAGCGUUGUUCGGAAUCACUGGGCGUAAAUGGUGCGUAGGUGGCGUGGUAAGUCAGAUGUGAAAGCCCGGGGCUCAACCUCGGAACUGCAUCCGAUACUGCCAUGCUAGAGUACUGGAGAGGUGACUAGAAUUCUCGGUGUAGCAGUGAAAUGCGUAGAUAUCGAGAGGAAUACCAAAGGCGUAGGCAGGUCACUGGACAGUUACUGACACUGAGGCACGAAGGCCAGGGGAGCGAACGGGAUUAGAUACCCGAGUAGUCC